Molecule: ribosomal RNA, 252 nt
Filed under: uncultured bacterium
Lineage: Bacteria
Description: partial 16S ribosomal RNA
Rfam family: Bacterial small subunit ribosomal RNA
Source: RNAcentral
UACGGAGGAUGCGAGCGUUAUCCGGAUUUAUUGGGUUUAAAGGGUGCGCAGGCGGUCUGUUAAGUCAGCGGUCAAAGCCCGGGGCUCAACCCCGGCCCGCCGUUGAAACUGGCAGUCUCGAGUUGGAGAGAAGUAUGCGGAAUGCGCGGUGUAGCGGUGAAAUGCAUAGAUAUCACGCAGAACUCCGAUUGCGAAGGCAGCGCACCGGCGCCCUACUGACGCUCAGGCACGAAAGCGUGGGUAUCGAACAGG